GGACGGGUGAGUAACGCGUAGGAAUCUACCGAGUAGUGGGGGACAACAGUUGGAAACGACUGCUAAUACCGCAUAAUCCCUGAGGGGGAAAGGAGGGGAUCUGUUUACAGACCUUUCGCUAUUUGAUGAGCCUGCGUGAGAUUAGCUAGUUGGUGAGGUAAUGGCUCACCAAGGCGACGAUCUCUAGCUGGUCUGAGAGGAUGAUCAGCCACACUGGAACUGAGACACGGUCCAGACUCCUACGGGAGGCAGCAGUGGGGAAUAUUGCACAAUGGGGGAAACCCUGAUGCAGCCAUGCCGCGUGUGUGAAGAAGGCCUUCGGGUUGUAAAGCACUUUCAGCGAGGAGGAAAGGAGUAUGUUUAAUAAACGUGCUCUGUGACGUUACUCGCAGAAGAAGC
RNAcentral lists this ribosomal RNA (399 nucleotides) under uncultured Gammaproteobacteria bacterium. RNAcentral describes it as "bacterial SSU rRNA". It matches the Rfam family "Bacterial small subunit ribosomal RNA", at positions 100 to 491 of the family's 1533-position model. Lineage: Bacteria; Pseudomonadati; Pseudomonadota; Gammaproteobacteria. The record is from RNAcentral.